Molecule: ribosomal RNA, 305 nt
Filed under: uncultured bacterium
Lineage: Bacteria
Description: bacterial SSU rRNA
Rfam family: Bacterial small subunit ribosomal RNA
Source: RNAcentral
UCGGUCCUACGGGGCGCAGCAGUGAGGAAUAUUGGUCAAUGGCCGGAAGGCUGAACCAGCCAAGUCGCGUGAGGGAAUAAGGCCCUAUGGGUCGUAAACCUCUUUUGUCAGGGAGCAAAGGCGUCCACGUGUGGACGAGAGGAGAGUACCUGAAGAAAAAGCAUCGGCUAACUCCGUGCCAGCAGCCGCGGUAAUACGUAGGGGGCAAGCGUUAUCCGGAUUUACUGGGUGUAAAGGGAGCGUAGACGGCGAAGAAAGUCUGAAGUGAAAGCCCGCGGCUCAACCGCGGAACGGCUUUGGAAACU